CAGUUUUAGAACAUGGACAUUAUCAAAAACUGUCUGCUCAGCUUGUUCGCAUUUGUGUUCUGGAUACAAGGUCUAACUGAUGGAAGGGAUGUCAACCAGACCUCCAUACUGUGGGAUAAAACUGGCAACAAUGCAACAAUCAACUGCAGCCACACCAAGGGUGUUGGCUACAACCAGAUGUACUGGUACAGACAGCUACCAGGAGAAGCAAUGAAGCUAAUAGUCUACACAACACUCGGCAUAGAAAAUCACGACUUUGGAGAUUUCAGCAAAGAGAAAUUCUCAGCCACCAAGCCUGACACUGACAGUGGGACAUUCACAGUGAAGAAUCUGGUGCCUGAAGAUAAAGGCUUGUAUUUCUGUGCUGUGAGUGAGCACAGUGAUACAGACACAUGUGAAAGCUAAACAAAAACUUCAGCGUACUGUUGGCACAAC
Siniperca chuatsi (mandarin fish) is the source of this 435-nucleotide non-coding RNA. Lineage: Eukaryota; Metazoa; Chordata; Actinopteri; Centrarchiformes; Sinipercidae. The record is from the annotation of a RefSeq genome assembly.